This 253-nucleotide ribosomal RNA is filed under the name uncultured bacterium. RNAcentral describes it as "partial 16S ribosomal RNA". It matches the Rfam family "Bacterial small subunit ribosomal RNA", at positions 524 to 776 of the family's 1533-position model. The record is from RNAcentral.
UACGGAGGGGGUUAGCGUUGUUCGGAAUGACUGGGCGUAAAGCGCGCGUAGGCGGAUCUUUAAGUCAGGGGUGAAAUCCUGGAGCUCAACUCCAGAACUGCCUUUGAUACUGGGGAUCUCGAGUCCGGAAGAGGUGAGUGGAACUCCGAGUGUAGAGGUGAAAUUCGUAGAUAUUCGGAAGAACACCAGUGGCGAAGGCGGCUCACUGGUCCGGUACUGACGCUGAGGUGCGAAAGCGUGGGGAGCAAACAGG